GAUGAACGCUGGCGGCGUGCCUAACACAUGCAAGUCGAACGGAAAGACGAGGAGGUUGGCCCCUUGACGUUCGCGGCGCGGGGGUGUGUAACAUGUGUAUAACCUACCUAUAUGACGGGGAUAAACUCGUGAAAACGGUGCCUAUAACGGAAUAUCUACUGAACCGCAUGGUUGGGUAGUGAAAGGCGGCUUUGCAGUGGCUGAUCGCAGGUUCCGCGCCGCAUUAGCUAGUUGGUAAGGUAACGGCUUACCUAGGCAACGAUGCGUAGCCGAGCUGAGAGGGUGAUCGGCCACACUGGAACUGAGACACGGUCCAGACUCCUACGGGAGGCAGCAGUAGGGAAUCUUGCGCAAUGGGCGCAAGCCUGACGCAGCCACGCCGCGUGUGUGAAGAAGGCCUUCGGGUUGUAAAGCUCUUUUAGUGGGGAAGAACAGAUUUGUGAUUAACCAUGCACUUAUUGACGGUACCUACUCAAGAAGCCCCGGCUAACUACGUG
Molecule: ribosomal RNA, 497 nt
Filed under: uncultured bacterium
Lineage: Bacteria
Description: partial 16S ribosomal RNA
Rfam family: Bacterial small subunit ribosomal RNA
Source: RNAcentral